This 373-nucleotide ribosomal RNA is filed under the name uncultured organism. Its description in RNAcentral is "partial 16S ribosomal RNA". It matches the Rfam family "Bacterial small subunit ribosomal RNA", at positions 527 to 896 of the family's 1533-position model. The record is from RNAcentral.
GUAGGUGGCAAGCGUUGUCCGGAAUUAUUGGGCGUAAAGCGCGCGCAGGCGGGUUCUUUAAGUCUGAUGUGAAAGCCCACGGGCUCAACCGUGGAGGGUAAUUGGAAACUGGAGAACUUGAGUACAGAAGAGGAAAGCGGAAUUCCACGUGUAGCGGUGAAAUGCGUAGAGAUGUGGAGGAACACCAGUGGCGAAGGCGGCUUUCUGGUCUGUAACUGACGCUGAGGCGCGAAAGCGUGGGGAGCAAACAGGAUUAGAUACCCUGGUAGUCCACGCCGUAAACGAUGAGUGCUAAGUGUUAGGGGGUUUCCGCCCCUUAGUGCUGCAGCUAACGCAUUAAGCACUCCGCCUGGGGAGUACGGCCGCAAGGCUG